GCAGAGUGUACUGUAGAAUGCCAUAG
This 26-nucleotide non-coding RNA is filed under the name Homo sapiens (human). The record is from RNAcentral. Lineage: Eukaryota; Metazoa; Chordata; Mammalia; Primates; Hominidae.